Aquila chrysaetos chrysaetos is the source of this 603-nucleotide long non-coding RNA. RefSeq lists it as uncharacterized. The transcript is spliced from 2 exons. Lineage: Eukaryota; Metazoa; Chordata; Aves; Accipitriformes; Accipitridae. The record is from RefSeq and is a predicted model, not a curated record.
CCUGCUCCGGCGUGGGCCCCUCCCCGGGCUGCAGGGCCUACAGAUUGCACGUUUAUGCCAGUAUUUCUCCAGGAACUGAGGUUACACCAACUGAUCUCGACUUUGCUGCUCCUUCCCCCAGGUCUCUUGAGGUUCCUCCUCCACAGGACCACCAUUCCCAGGUCGCUGGGUCCGCUCGGGUCUCCCAUCAUGGGCCUGCCUUUGGAAAUGAACUUUCUGCAGUGACCCUAUUCUUUGUACAGUAUUAUCGGGUAACCUGAGAACUGCAGAUGUAUCUGAUUAUUGGAACUGUGGAGACGAUUGCCACAAAACCCGAAACCGUGACCUUUCCUUGAGGUGUUAUCAGCCAAGCUGGUGGGGGGGGACAAGAGAGCUGAUUUAUGACCAUUCAUUAAAAUUACACGAAACUGAUUAUUUAUAGAGGUAGACUUCUGCUGAAAGGCUCAGGCUUAAAACCUGUCUUCUUUAUAGUUCAGAGUGUUUGGACAUGGGAAAACAAGGAAUGCUCUCUUGAAGCAAUGUGAAUGUAACUGGAUUAUAUUUUAUUGUAUUUUUAUUAUGUUUUGUAUUGUAUAUUAAAAUAGAUUUAUUAUUUAUAUUUAA